This 326-nucleotide unclassified non-coding RNA is filed under the name Chytridiomycota sp. Its description in RNAcentral is "partial contains small subunit ribosomal RNA, internal transcribed spacer 1, and 5.8S ribosomal RNA". The stretch from base 1 to 47 matches the Rfam family "Eukaryotic small subunit ribosomal RNA", at positions 1785 to 1831 of the family's 1831-position model. The record is from RNAcentral. Lineage: Eukaryota; Fungi; Chytridiomycota.
AAAGUCGUAACAAGGUAACCGUAGGUGAACCUGCGGUUGGAUCAUUACUGAAUCAACAUAACGGUCAGAAAUGACCUUGGUUGAACCAACCUAAAACAUUUUGUGAACCGUCUUGUCCCUGGCGGCGGGGUGGGCGUAAGUGGCGGAUGGGUCCUGCAAGGGGCUCCGUCCGUCCAACCCACCUGUCAGCUCGGUUGGCCCAUUCGGGUUGGCCGUGCCGUGGACAAACCGCCAAAUGUCCUAAACCUGUCAUUUUUUCUUUUGUCUGAAAUCAAUCUGUCUAUUAAAUACAGAAACAACUUUUGGCAACGGAUCUCUUGGCUCUC